AUAUUUUAGUAUAAUUGUAUUAAGAAUUUUGAUUUCUUAGGAAGAAAAAUUUUUCUAAAUAUAUA
This 65-nucleotide transfer RNA is filed under the name Scolytinae sp. 6 ACP-2013. RNAcentral describes it as "tRNA-Gln". Lineage: Eukaryota; Metazoa; Arthropoda; Insecta; Coleoptera; Curculionidae. The record is from RNAcentral.